This is a long non-coding RNA of Peromyscus maniculatus bairdii (prairie deer mouse), 562 nucleotides long. RefSeq lists it as uncharacterized. Lineage: Eukaryota; Metazoa; Chordata; Mammalia; Rodentia; Cricetidae. The record is from RefSeq and is a predicted model, not a curated record.
AGUGAUCUACUUCCAAAGAGGAAGCACAGAAAGCAUGCUGAUACCACAGCGGAAGUAUUGUAGUGGAAGUAUCAUGCUGAAACAUACUGUGAAUGUGGAAUAAAUGACCAAAUACAAGACAUGCAUGUGUCUUGAUAUCUAGAGUAUCUUCAUUGGCCUGAAGUUGUCCAAGUAACCUAAGCUGGACCUGGGACCUGCCUGUCUUCAUUUCUCCAAAGACCACCUCCCUUGAUGAAAUUACAAUGGGUGCCGCCAUACCAGCCUUCAUAUACAGGUUCUAGGAAUCAAGAUUGGGUCCUUCUGUUUACAAGGCAAGGACAUAACCACCUAAUCUAUCUCCCCAACCAGGACAACAAAACUUUUUGAUCACCAAAGGGGCACUGCUGGUCACUUCAGUAAGGGUGGUUCAGUAUUCUUCACCAUCCUCUAGUGAAACCAUACUAUAAAAUUACUAUACAAUUGGCAAUUCGCCGGGCGGUGGUGGCACAUGCCUUUAAUCCCAGCACUCGGGAGGCAGAGCCAGGCAGAUCUCUGUGAGUUUAAGGUUACAGAGUGAGUUCCA